Molecule: ribosomal RNA, 413 nt
Filed under: uncultured eukaryote
Lineage: Eukaryota
Description: SSU rRNA
Rfam family: Eukaryotic small subunit ribosomal RNA
Source: RNAcentral
CCAGCAGCUGCGGUAAUUCCAGCUCUAAUAGCGUAUAUUAAAGUUGUUGCAGUUAAAAAGCUCGUAGUCGGAAGUCGGGCUCGGGCAGGCUGUCGGCCUCGGUUGGGCAGCUUGCUUGGGUCUUCUAGCUCGGGGGCCCCGUGCCAUUUAACCGUGGUGCGCGGGAACACGGGCCGUUUACUUUGAAAAAAUUAGAGUGUUCAAAGCAGGCCUACGCUUGAAUACAUUAGCAUGGAAUAAUGGAAUAGGACUUUGGUGCUAUUUCGUUGGUUAAUGGGACCGAAGUAAUGAUUAAAAGGGACAGUUGGGGGCAUUGGUAUUCAGUAGUCAGAGGUGAAAUUCUUGGAUUUACUGAAGACUAACUAGUGCGAAAGCAUUUGCCAAGGAUGUUUUCAUUGAUCAAGAACGAAAGU